AAGCUUGAGCAGGCUUGACACUCUGUUUACUGGAAAGCUGCCAGAAAAUUAUGCCAAUCUUACAUCUCUGCAGACUUUUUCAAUAGCUGGAAAUAGUUUCACUGGCAAUAUACCUAAGUUCUUUGCAAAAUGGACCAAUCUCGAAGAUCUGAUUCUUACUGGAAAUGAUUUUGAGGGGAAGCUGCCUUUGGAAAUUUUUAAUUUAUCAAAUCUUACUUCUUUGAAGAUUAGUGAUCUAAGGAAUUCUGGUUUCUCUUUUCCAAAAUAUGCAAAUAUGACAAAACUAAAGACUUUGGUAUUGAGGAAUUGCUCAAUAACUGGUCGAAUUCCUCAGUACAUUGGAGAUUGGCCUUCAUUAACUUACCUUGAUUUGAGCUUCAACAGUUUAGUUGGUGAGCUUCCAGAUACUAUGAAGAACAAACAUUUAAGUAGUUUGUUUCUCACAAGAAAUAUGCUUACGGGGUCGAUUCCUUCCUGGAUUUCUAGCGUCAUCAAUGAUGAAGCGGAUUUAUCAUAUAACAAU
RNAcentral lists this unclassified non-coding RNA (523 nucleotides) under Hevea brasiliensis (rubber tree). The record is from RNAcentral. Lineage: Eukaryota; Viridiplantae; Streptophyta; Magnoliopsida; Malpighiales; Euphorbiaceae.